ACAUGGAACAGUUGUGCACAGCACAUUUGUAUAAAAAUAAAAGCCAUUACAUUUUAGAAACAAAUAAUUGGAUAUUUCUGUUUUGCUACAAAUUUACAAUCUCAGUUAUAAAUCAGUACUAAUCCAGAAUGAGGUAUAUUUCUUGGUAAGAAUAUUACGAAAUGGCACCAUUUUGUUUAUGGAAUUUAAUAUAUAAAUAAUGAGGUAAGCACUGGGAUUCCCACUUUACUGAAAGGCAAUGGACUAGUUGUACAAUACAUGUAAAUGAUUAAAUAAGACACAGAGAUACUGGUGCACUUUUAAGGAGACAGCAAUACUUUAACUAGAGUUCAAUAAUAUAGGAAGGCACAUAGUACACAUGUAAAAAUGACCUAAAAUGUAAAUUUAUUUGUAUUUAUCUUGGAAACAUUACAUUUACAACAGAUGUGUUGCCAUUGUUUUAUUUCAGCCAGUGGUCUUGAUUUGAAAAGUAGCUCUGUUCUUACAGUGUGAAAUCAUCCAUUAUCAAAUCAAAAAAAUGGGUAAUUAACAAACAAAUGCAAUACAAUUUUGCCAUCCUGCAAGACUCCAUAUCACUGGUACCCAAACUAGUACUCGUGAUGCAGCUACAGUCCAUGAUUUGUCACUAUCUCCAUUGGAAACGAAAAGGGAAAUAAAUCAAUACUGGACUGUUGCUGAUCCAUGAGGACUGGCUUGAAAACCACUGCUGUAUAUGAUAAACAAACAAAUUUGUAUUCAAUGAACACUGUUUGUGUUUAUCUGUGUCUGAGGUAUAGAUAGAUGCUGCUUACAUGACAUUAUAGAACACUGUAUACCAUUUUAAAAUGUUUAUUUCAUCCAUUUUUGUGCUGCUACAUGCAAGCACAUAUGGGAACUCCUACGUGAAUUUGGGUGAUUAUGUCACUUGUGGUAUCACCUACUUUUGUGCAAGCGACAUAAUGGUCUACAAAUUUGUACACAUUGCAUGUACAAUGGUGGGUUUAGAUGCCAGCACUCAAAUAGUUACACGUACGAGUUCCCUGGAAAAGACCCACAAGCAGCAAACAUCAGGUUAUUGCUUAGGGGGAAGAUGUCAUGAAGUCUUCUAACAAAAGAUGAAAGGAUCAAGGAUCAAAAGAUGAUUUAAAAAAUCAAGGUAUAAAAUGCAGGCCAAUUGUUACUAACAUGUCGUCAUUUAGUAUGUAAGCACUAUCCAUAAAUAAAACAUUUUACCUCAGUUAACAUUAAAGUAUUGCUGAUCCCUUACACUUCAGUGUCACAUGUUCAAUAUCGUUGAUACCAUGUUCCAAUUAAUGGUUUAUACAACUUACAUUUAGAAACACUCUGCAGUAAGAGGCAUGUCAAUGGCCUUUAAGACAACAUCAUUAAGGGAGAGCUAGGAGAGAUCUCCACGUCCCUGUCACAUAAAUGUUCCCAGACCUGUCUAUUAGAACAUGCAGCCUCUUUGUCAAGUUUACUAGAAACUGAAACCAGCUUCUAUUACACUUCUGGAAGGCUGAAUUUAGAUCUCCUACUUUUCUAACACGUAUCUACCAGACAGCGACCCUUCUUUUUAAAAAUAUGAAUUCACUAUGCACCCACUUUUCUUUCAUAUGUAUUUAGCAUCCAUAUUUAUUCUAUUCUUCUUGUGAAAAGGUAUAACACAUUUCUAGACAAUAUUAUUUGCAAAUAAUAUUAUCGAUGAAGGCUCUUCCAUAGAGGCAUACCUGUUUUAAUGUGGGGGAAAACAUUUAUUUGCAGUAGUUUAGAAACACUCGCAUUCGUUUUUUUGGGAUGGGAGGGAGAUGAGCCAAAAAAAUAUGGGAAACCAUUAAUGUCUCCUUAAUUUUGUAAUAGGUUUCAGUUUUACAGGGCCCCUCCCUCCUCAUUUGUAGCUGUUUGGAAAAGCUUACUUCAGAGCAUCUAGGCAUGUUUUAAAAAUGGGUCUAGUUUUAUAUCUGUCCCUUUUUGGCAUAUUUGGCACAUGGCUAGUCUCAUUUAAGAAGUAAUUUCAGGAAUUCCUAUUGAGUUGCCAUUCAGGUAACAGAGCAGCUGCCCAUGAGUGGAGGCAUUUCUCUCCAGGGACCAUUAUUGGCUGAUAUUGCCAGUGGGUGGGGUUACAGUGCCCACAGAAGAGAGAAUCAAGACGCCAUAUUGAAAGAAGCAUGAAGAGAGCACAACAACAGCAGCAGCAGCUCCUGUUCCCUGCCAAAUGUAAUAUAAUGUAUAAUAUCUUUUUCUCCCCCCCAUUAGCCCUAAUGACUACAUCAAGGAAAGGAAUUUACUCCAAUAUAUAAUUAUUAUAUAUAUACAUGUACAGCCAGAGAAGCACAGAUGUGGCAAGGGGAGGGGAACAUUACUGACACAGAGUACAGUGCUGCCUGUCACUAAUAUUUUUAAUAACUCCUACUGCACAGUUACUCUACAUCUGAGACCUGAGACAUUCAUGCUGUGAUUCGUUGAAAAGUUGUGAAGCUUCAAAUUGUAGGACUGGGGCUGUGACUCUGAGGACUGGUCUGAUUCCGAUUUCAAUAUGUUUUAACCUGUAAUGAUUGUUGAUUCUGUUAACCAUGUCAGCUACUUCUUGACUCCAUUUUACCACUGUAGAUUAAUUAUAUUACCACUGCAGGUAAUAUGAAGUCGAUCAGUGCCCUGCUGCUUUAACCAUGUGCACACUGUGUGCUAAGAGCUAAUGGAGUAGGUGACAUGUUUCAUAACAGCAACAAUAUUUAAUAGAAAGCUAAAUUUAUCAUAGCAGGAGCACUUCUGAAGAUGAGAUCAUGUAAGAGAGAGCUAAGAUGGGGCUAGCAAAAUAAAUAGAGAGAAGAGAGAUAGCUAAAGCAUUUUACAGACACAUGUACUGUGUGGGGACCUCUGUAUUGCAGCUCUGUGUAACCCAUCAUAGUGCCCCAGGCUGUGUGGGAUAGUUAUGGCAUCUCAUUAUUGUGCCCAGCUUUCUGUGGAGGAUUAGGGGUAAAAUGGGAAAUUAAUUAUGAAAUCUCGCUUUCUGAGUGGAAUAUUUAUUGUUUUACAAUGUGUUCUCUUCUUUUUUUUUUUUUAAAAAUCCCCUUAACCUCUGGAAUUAACUAGGGUGUAUGUUUACAUGUAAUUGCCAGGGGAUUGACGAAUCCCUAACCCGAGCAUUUAAAAUAAACCAUAUAAAAAAAAAUAGCAAGUAGGCAACUAUAAAGCCACUAACUAUGUUAAGUUAACCCCUGAACUUCCAUACAUCAGGGAAAUGCAUUUGAGAAAGUCUAAGGGUCCCCACAUAAUUUAAAUAAAUCCAUCCACCACAGGUAACGAUGGGGUGAGGAGUGGGUAAGCAAGCAUAUUGAUUAAGUUUGAUUUAACUCUUACCACAUUGCGUAUCGGAGGAAGUUAUAGGUAAUGAGACUGUGACAGCACUCUCUUUAUUAUUAUAUAACUUUUGCCAUCUGUAACAACCUGCUUGGGUUCAAUGGAGGGUAACACUCCAUUGAAUGAUAUGAAAUAUAUUACAUUUAUUCAAGCUGAAAAAAAAAUAACCAAACUUUUUAUAGACAGAUUUGUUGUGACAGACUAUAUUAAAUUACCUAUUUUUUACAUCAUGCCUGCUUGUUAGCAUGUUAUAUGUUUCACUAUUGUUUUACAUGUUCAGUACAGUGUCUUUAAAAUUUGUCAAAAUAUUAUAUUUUGCUAUAAUAUAUACUGUGAUUGUAGUAUUAACAAAACAUUAAAUGUGAUUACUAUUAUUUACAUUUUUUUAUUCCAUAGGCUUCUUACUGAAAAUUUACUUAUUUUGUGCAACUCUUAAAGAAGUAUUGUUGGUCUCUGAGAAGCAUGUGACUGCAGUAAGGUCAGGCAAAAAUACCAGAAGAAGUAGCUCUCCAGAAAUGUCUUCAGUAGCGUUACAUACAUACAUGACAUGGGAUGACACUGGAAUUAACUAAUUAUGGCCUUUGAUUCCUGGGAGUCAACUUGUUAAUGCAAACCUGACCUUUAGUGUGUGCUGUAUAUUUUUAGGUAGUCUAAAUAAGUUUGGAAUAGGAGAGAGGCAAACACAUAACUACGCAGCCAGGCGUGCCCUUUAAAUCGGGUCUGAAACCACUUUUAGACAUCUUGUGCUCUCAGGGAGUCUGUUCAGUAAUCUGGAAGAUGAUCAUUCUUCAUUUAAAAGGAAAGGGGGUUCAUAGAAAUGUUUUAUUUUGUUCUAUUUCACAUGCAAUUCUGCUGUUGUAUCUUUAAUAUGACACUAUAGUCACCAGAACAACUACAGCUUAAUGUAGUUCUGUUAUCUCUAGCCUGUCCCUGCAGGCUUUUUAAUGUAAACAUUGCCUUUUCAGAGAACAUUGCUGCAUAGUAACACUUCUAAUCACAGUCACUCAGACAGCCACUAGAGGUGCUUACUGGGUCAGUGAUGCACAGUGGAAGAAUGCUGAAUGCUCCCCAUAGAGAUGCAUUCACUCAAUAGGAUACAUUGACUGGUGCAGUGCAGCGUUUUGCAGUGCACAGACCAGUGGUUCCCAAACUUUUUAGGUUCAAAGCGCCCUUAAUAUUUCAAUAUUUUUCAAAGGCACCCCAAGUCAAAAUUUUUAGGUUGUAUAUCUAUACUAUACUGGCGCUAUAGAGUAAUGUACAGUGUUGGUGUUUGAAGGAGUGCUUGUAUAUUGUUUUAGUGUUUUAAUACAUGGGUGUGUUUGUAUGUUUGACUGCAGGGGUGUGUCUGAAUGUAUUGUUCAUUUUUACAUGUGGAUGUACAUUUGUGUGAAGUAUUUGUGUUUGAGUGAAGGGGUGUGUUUGUAUAUUAUUUUGGAGUUUGAAUGCCCAGGUAGCUUUGUAUGUAAUAUUUGUGUUAGAUUGCAGGAGUGUGCAUAUAUGUUGUGCUGGUGUUUGCUUGGAUGUAUGCACAUACACUACCACAUACAUAUAUACUUACACAGAUAUUUAUGCAGAGAUAUAUACACACACACACACACACAAAUACACACACACAUGAUACUAUUUUAUAUAUCCAGCAACCCUCCUGUUAUCUUACCUUAUGUGUCCAGGAGGGUGGCUUCGAGUCCUGCUGGCUGGUUUGAGUGAGGGGUCUAGAGCAGCUCCUGGAGUGCACCUUUCCCCUCAUGCUGCGGCUACCUUUUCUCCCUCUAGUGAUGUCUCCAUGCAUGAUGCUGGGAGGAAGUGACAGGUUGUCACUUCCUCCCAGUCGGCAGACAAUACAGGGACCCAGUCGCGGUCUUAAAGGACUGUUCAGCAGUUAUGUUUCCUGGUGCUCUAAUCAUAGCACAGGGGAAACAUUCUGCGGCGCCCCUGUGUGCCCCAGGGCACUGCGGCUCACAGUUUUGAAACCGCUGGCAUAGACAAUAGCCUCCUGAUGCUUUCCUAUGGGAUUCAAAUUUGAUGAUCUCAUCCAAGGAGGUUUGCAUUCCUGACACUAUAGUGUUCCUUUAAUGUUGCAAGAUGCGUUUCAAUUCAACAUAAUACACUGUUAAGUAAAUAUACCCAGUAACAUUUAAUUAGUAAACAUUAUUGGGUCUAAUUUAAUUGCAUUGGAUCAAAACACAGAUUAAUCAUUCUUUAAGAAAUGCAUACUUGCCAAAGUUCAGAUUACGUGGAAAGUCCUGAAUGUAAGAUACACCCAUCCUGGGUGUUUCUUCUGGGGUCUCCAGAAGUAGCACUUACACUACACAGUGCUGUUUUACUGGGAAUUUCAGCCUGUACAUGCCACUUGUAAGUAGCGCUAUGUGUAUGAGCUGCCUUGUCACCAUGCAGGUCUGCCUGUCAUCCAAUCCACCUUUAUGGAUAGGCACAUUACCAGUGACACAAAUUGCAUCAGUGGCAUGCCUCAGCAUCUUCUGCUGUCACCUCUAAAACCCGCAACAUACGUCACAAAGUUGAUAUACUCCAUCAACUGAGUUUACCUGAACAUAACAUCUCUGUCCUCCUGAGCCAGACAAUGCAAUCUACUACGCAUGACCAUCUUAACACUGAUUUAACACCAAUAUUUUUUAGAUAUUUUUGCAUUCAUUUAAACUCAGAUCAGAGAGCGCAUUAUAAAGAUGGCCUCACAUAAUUAUCUUUUUUUUAAAGUAUAUUCAUUCAAAAACCAACUCUAAUACCUCACUGAAGAAAUUAUAAUGAUAUCAUCCUGUCCACAUGCCUGUCAAAUUAGUGAAUUUGUGUUCUACCACAACAGUUAUUAAAUCUAAGUUAAUCCUCAAAAUAAUAUCCAUUGCACAACAUACAUAAAUGAAAGAUAUAGCCAGACAUCCCAAUUCAACUGGACGUUCCGGGAGUUCCGGCUACCUGACACCCGAAAAUCAUAUACAACAUCCUGGAAAUCACACACACAAUGUAAAUACAAUGUAUGUCAGAUUGUGUGUGUGUGAUAUCCAGGAUAUUGUAUAAUUUUCAGCCCCCGAUAAUACUCGCUUUAAGAGCACAACCAGGCCCCUGUAGUAUCAUCUGGAAGGGAGGAAGUGACAGCCUGUCACUUCCUCCCAGCUUCACAGAGCACCGCAAAGGAGGGAGAAAGGGAGGAGGAGGCUAAAGGCAGCGGCGGCAUCACAGGCAGAGGCAGAGGAGAGGCUACAGUGAGCUGCUGCAUGCUUACUGUCUUCAGCAUCAGCCAGCACCAGGACCCCAAACAAGCCACCCUCCUAGCUGCAAAUAUAUGAAGUAUGAAAUGUAUGUGUUUAUGUCUGUAUGUAUCCAUUUGUAUCAGUGUGUAUGCCAGUGUGUGUAUCUGUGUGUAUCUAUGUGUAUGUUAGUGUGUGUAUGUCAGUAUGUGUGUAUGUGCCAGUGUGUGUGUCAGUGUUGUGUGUAUCCAUUUGUUAUGUGUGUAUCCAUUUUAAUCAUUGUGUAUGUCAGUGUAUGUAUCUCUUUGUCAGUGUGUAUCUGAGUGUGUAUCUGUAUGAGCCAUUGUGUAUCUGUAUGUCAGUGUGUGUAUCUGAGUGUAUGUGCCAGUGUGUGUAUCUUAAUGUGUGUGUCAGUGUGUGUAACUGUAAGUCAGCAUUUAUCUAAGUGAGUAUCGGUGUGUAUGUGCCAGUGUGUGUAUCUAAAAAGUGUGUGUGUCAGUGUGUGUAUCUGUGUGUCAGUGUGUAUCUGAGUGUGUGUGUGCCAGUGUGUAUCUGUAUAUCAGUGUGUGUAUCUGAGUGUGUGUCAGUGUGUACCUUAGUGUUUAUGUGUUAGUGUGUCUAUCUGUGUGUUGAGGUGUUCAUACAUGAUUGAUCAUACAUGUUUGGUGGCUGUGUGUGUGUGUGUGGGGGCGGGGCAGGGUAGCUGGUGAAGCCACCUCCCUAAAAUGAGUUUUGCAUGUUGGGAUGUCUGAGCAGCUCUAUAUUUUAUAUAUGAUUGGUCAUAUGAAAAUGUUACCAGAAAAGCUAAAUAUAUUUAAAAUGUUUAUAUAAUUAACUUUAUUUAAAUAUCAAUAUAUAUUCUAUUUGCAUUUUUCUGCAUAUUUCCUGUCCUGCACCCUCCCCCACAUUAUAUCACAGGACUUCAUUGUGUUUCUGCAGGCUUGAUAGCAACAAAAAUGUAGCUACGUGAGACAGUGAGUCAACUAGAAAAGAUGUAAAAACAGCUGGGUGGCAAAGCCAAGCCUAUCAACAAAGGGUAGGCAACAGCCAACUAGCACAAGGGUUAUGGCCAGUUUGUAGUUAGUCUCAACCCUCUCCCAAGGUUUACUUUGAGGAAUGUACCUUUUAUUAGAGGUGAGUUGGUUUGGCUCCGGUGAGGGUGGCGUUUGAUAAUGUCACAAGGUGACUUCACUUGUUUGGAUUACAGUUGUUACUUAAAGGGACACUGAAGGCACUGUAACUGCUACAUCUCAACAAGUGGUUGUAGUGUUUGUAGUCCACAUGUGUUGUCCUUCCAUUCAGUUUUAACUGCUUGUAAUAGUUUAAUUCUAAAUGAGAGUCCCCAGCAGCCUCUCCCUUCUCUGAUGUUCAAAUUUAUAAGGAAAAAUUUGCAUGUGCAACAAUGGGAGGCGGUGAUUAGCUGAGAGUGUCAGCUGACUGCAUAAAGCCUAACACAGCCACACAUUGCUGGUAUGAAUUGGUAUGACUAAGGAAGUGUAGGUCAGUAGAUUUAAAACAUUUUUUAAAUGAAAAGUAAAAUAAAACUGACCAAUGAAAUAAUUAAAUGUUGUUGUCCAAUUGCUAACUAGUAAAUUGUUGUGAGUUGAGUGACAUUUAGGCCAAAAAUGCUGUUGUUUUUUAAAAUAUUAUUUUGGGUAACAUAUCAUAAUUUGUUAUUAAUUAACCAAUAUUCAAUGUAGUGAUUAUAUGCCGUUUGUCCAAACGCCUCUAUACUCCCUUCCACCUACUUCUAGAUAACAUCUACAUUAUUAUUAUUAUGAUAUUUAUAUAGCGCCAUCAAAUUCCGCAGCGCUUUACAAUGGGUGGACGAACAGACGUAGUUGUAACCAGAUAAGUUGGACACACAGGAACAGAGGGGUUGAGGGCCCUGCUCAAUGAGCUUACAUGCUAGAGGGAGUGGGGUAAAAUGACACAAAAAGGUAAGGAUAGUAUUAGACUAGUGACAGUUGCAGAAGAGGAAUCAGUCAGAAGCUAUUAACAGUUUAAUUGAUACGCUUUUAUGAAGAAGUGGGUUUUUAACGAUUUUUUGAAGGAGUGGAGACUGGGUGAGCAUCUAACGGAGGAGGGAAGCAAGUUCCACAGGAACGGUGCAGCCCUCGAGAAAUCUUGAAGGCGAGCAUCAGAGGUGGGAGUACGGACAGAAGAUAGACGUAAGUCUUCAGCAGAUCGUAAGGGCCUAGACGGGACAUACUUGUGUAUAAGGGAGGAUAGAUAGGUGGGAGCAGCAUUAUGUAGAGAUUUGAAAGCAAGAACCAGAAUUUUAAAUUGAGCUCUAUAUGUUAUAGGAAGCCAAUUCAUUAUGGACUGUAACAGCGCAAGUUGGGAGCACGUAAGACCACUGAGAAGCGGAUUACAGUAGUCAAGGCGAGAAAGGAUAGUGGAAUGGACCAACACCAUAGUCGCAUCUGGCGUUAAUUAGGGGCAGAUGCGCGCAAUGUUUUUGAGAUGGAAAUGACAGGAUUUGGCGAUAGAUUGAACAUGAGGCUUGAAGGAGAGGUCGGAGUCAAAGAGAACACCUAGGCAGCGAGCCUGCAUUGUGGAGCUGAUAGUAGCACCGUUGACUUGGAGGGAGACAGACACAGGAGUAACAACACUCGAGGGAGGAAAGACCAGAAUUUCAGUUUUGGUCAAGUUUAGUUUAAGGAAGUGGGCAGCCAUCCAGUUAGAAAUAGCAUAGAGGCAGUCAGAGACACUAGUCAAGAGGGACGGGGAGAGAUCAGGAGAGGACAGGUAGAUUUGCGUGUCAUCUGCAUAGAAAUGAUAUUGGAAGCCAAAAGAGCUAAUGAGUUUACCAAGGGAGGCAGUAUAGAUGGAGAACAGUAGGGGACCAAGGACUGAACCUUGGGGGACACCAACAGAGAGGAGUUGGGGAGAAGAAGCAGAGCCAGAGAAAGAAACACUGAAAGAGCGCUGGGAGAGAGCAAUAUCUUGUAGGCCGAUAUUGCGAAGGAUGAGAAGAAGCUGUUGAUGAUCAACAGUGUCAAAAGCUUGUGAUAAAGUGAAGGCAGAGAGGCCUUUAACAUUUAACCCCAGGGGAAGUACGUGUUGUAUGUGUGGUGUGCAACAUAAAGCUACGUUUAGUUAUGGGCCCCUGGGGUGGAGCAUUUGGAGAGCAGGGUGGGCCAAUGCUCCACUGCUCAGUUUAUACACAACUGGGAGAAAUAAGGUCCAGGACAGAGUUUUUUGGAACUGUCUCCAACCCACUGCUCAGCUGCAGAUAAUCAGCUGUAGCAGUGGGAAUAUACCCCUCCCUGCUAGACAGAAUUACUGAACAUUUGUCCAGAUUGCUGGCUUCCUCCCUGGAAGCAGGUAGGAGAGAGGCUGUUCUCUCCAAUGAGAGAGUCAAGGAGACUGGGCACUGGGAGCGCAGAAGGAAGCAGUCAAGGCUGGCUUGGAGUACUGGGAGUGCAGAAAGGAAAGCAGUUAAGGCUGGCUUGGAGCACUGGGAGUGCAGAAAGGAAAGCAGUUAAGGCUGGCUUGGAGCAGUGGGAGUGUAGAAAGGAAAGCAACAGGCUGACUAAGCACUGGAGUGCAGAGAGCUGACAAAGACACUAGGUUGGUGAAACCAAUAUUGUUUUGUUCUAGUUUAACCCCUGAGAGAUAGGGAACCUGAUGUUAGUAAGUGCUCAGACGAGCUAGGUUUUUGUUUAUAGGGAUUUGUGUUAUAUUUAUGUUUUCAUUUGCUGCUGUCUCCUGUGUUGACUUACAAAUAAAGUGCCUGGAUUAUAUGAAAAUAAAAGGAUUGUGCCUGUUGUUUACCCUAGAGGACCGUGCUAUCUGCAAACAAGGAUCACAAUAUGGUGGAGAAUGUGGGCACAGUGGGUGUGCCAGUCAUCCGGUAGUCUGCUUAUAGAGGACUCUUACUUUUGCAGACAUGUUAAGCAAAUAAGUAGCACUGUACCUUUAAGACGGUUACCUGAUUGGUGCUAUAAUGGAGGACCUGCUGAAGGCUCUGGUACUGGCAACUGCUGUACAACAAGACACCAACCAUUUCCUGGCUGCACAGGUUAAGAGCCUGAUGGAAACUCAGCAAGAGCAUAGAGCUGCCCUUACUGAGGUUUUGCAGAUUGCCCCCUGCAGGGGGCAUGGGGACAAGGGACCCCGUAACCAAGCUGCUGACAUCCUGCAUAAGAUGACAGAGGCAGUAGAAGAAGUCUUUAGCAAGCUGAAAAGCAUGGAGUCAGCAAAGCGUGAUGUUGAGAAACACGCAGAAGAGAUAGAACAGGAAUUAGAAGGCAAGAAGGAAAUAAUUGAGCCUGAAAGUAGUGAUAAGGUGGAAGAGGGUGAAAAGCCAGCUGGAUCCUCCAGGGACCAAAUAGCAAAAGAAGAAAAGAUAGUAAUGAGACCAGCAAAACUAAAGGAAAAAGCGGAAUUGUCAAGAGGCAGUGAUGGUGACACUGAUGACAUGCGCCAAAGUAAAGCUAGUGAAUACAGCCAGGGAAAGAAACAUGAAGCAGAAGCCACUGAUGUUCACCCAAGUGAACAAGUCAAAGGCAUAAAAAGCAGACUGACUUGGGGAGUCAGAGAAGACAACAGCAAAGGAGCUGAGCUUAAUAGAGAGAAGCAAAGCACCCCAGCUGAGUAUAGCAAUGCGGUGCACUGUUUAGUAGCAGAGGCUACCCAAGAAUGUCAACCAGCUGUUGAACAGUUUGGCAGAGAAAAACAAGGCAGAGAAGUAGCGGCAAAAUGAAGUCAAAAUAAGAAAGGCAAAGUAGCCGCUUCUGAUCUAAGCCAAGAGAGAGCGAGAGUUACAGAACCAAGCUGUGGUGAUAAGAUGGGCACGUCCGCACCUAAGCCUGACCAAGGCGAAAGUGACAAAGUAGGUGACAUUGGCGUAACAGAAAUAAAUAUUUCAGAGACAUCUGGUAUUGCUACAAAGACUUUGAAGGAUUGUCCGGGAGCUGUAGAACUGGAUCUGCUGGCAAAGACUACAUCUACAAUGCCUGGGCGCAGGUACUACCUGGAACAGCUGCCAGAUUCUGGGAACACAGUAAUGGAAUUAAAGGCAGGACUCGGACUGCCUGACCGGCUGUUUGAUGCCGGGGCUGUCAUGACCCAGCGAGAGGCCAUGACUGCGUCUCUGGACACCCCCGAGGGAGCAGAGAGACCGCCAGACAGCCCAGAGGUAAGCAUUGCUGACAUUGAGAGAUGGCCACUCAAGGCCGAGCAAGCAGAGGAUACCCCUGGGAAGGAAACCAGGCAAAGGAAAGAUGAGCUAAGCCGGGAGUCUGGGCCUCCGGCAGAAGAACAGCGCUCCAUACCAGGCCAGGCCGAGCAUGAUGGGAUGGAGCUGGGAUCAAAGGCUGAAUUCAUGCAGGAGGAGGUUGCUCUAGACAGCCUCCCUGGCAAACCCCCUGAGUAUAUAGAGAUAGGGAACCUGAUGUUAGUAAGUGCUCAGACGAGCUAGGUUUUUGUUUAUAGGGAUUUGUGUUAUAUUUAUGUUUUCAUUUGUUGCUGUCUCCUGUAUGGACUUACAAAUAAAAUGCCUGGAUUAUAUGAAAAUAAAAGGAUUGUGCCUGUUGUUUACCCUAGAGGACCGUGCUAUCUGCAAACAAGGAUCACAAGCCGCAGACAGGUCAAGGAGAAUUAGGACAGAGUAGUGACCACGAGAUUUUGAAACGAGUAGAUCAUUGGAUACUUUGGACAGUGCCGUUUCCACAGAGUGCUUUGGGCGGAAACCAGACUGAAGCGGGUCUAGCAGAGAGUUGGACUCGAGGAAGUCUGUCAAUCUCGCAUACACAAUUCUUUCAAGGAUCUUGGGUGCAGUAGCAGUAGCGAGAUAGGACGAUAGUUGGAUGGAGAGUUAGGGUCAAGAUUUGGCUUCUUUAGAAUUGGGGUUACAGUUGCAUGUUUGAAGGGCGAUGGAAAUAUAUCAGAGGAGAGAGAGAGAUUGAGAAUUUUAGUGAGAGGUGGAGAAAGAGAAGAAGACAGAGUACGAAUGAGAUGCGAGGGACUUGGAUCUAGGGAGCAGGUGGUGGGGCGGGAGGAAUGGAGCAGAGCAGAAACCUCAUCCAAUGUAGCGGGUGCGAAUUAACAUAGAACAGCAGAGGGAGUGAAGUUAGGGGAAGUAUUGUAAGGGGAAGAAGAAAGAUGAGAGAUCUCUUCUCUGAUUGUAGAGAUCUUGUCAGUGAAGUGAGUUGCAAAGUCUGAGGCGGUCAAUUAAGUAGGUGGAGGAGGAACAGCAGGGCGAAGAAGAGAGUUAAAUGUGUGAAAUAGUCGUUUGGGUUCGCAGGAGAGUGUGGUUAUGAGGGUAUUGAAGUAAUUAACUGUUGCAGAGGAAAGACUGUAUGAGCUGAGCAUAAAUUUAUAGUGGAGAAAGUCAGAUGCACAGUGAGACAAUCUCCAACAGCGUUCAGUAGUUCUAGAGCAUUUUUGGAGAUAUCGAGUGAGCUUGGUGCGCCAGGGUUGUUGUUGGGGGCGCCUGCGGUGUUUAAAUGUACAAGGUGCCAUGAUGUCUAGUUGAGAGAAGAGGGUGGAAUUGGAGGUUGCAGAACUAGGACAGGUGAGGUUUGAGAUAAGUAAAAGGAGAGUUUGGAGAUUAGUGGAGAAAUGCUCUAGGUCAAGACAUUGGAGGUUUCUGUGAGAGUGAUGCUCAGAUGGUGGUGUCAAUUAGGUCUUAGGUAUGCCAAUGUCAAAAGUCAGUAGAUGGUGGUCAGAUAGAGGAAAAGGAAUAUUGGAGAGAUUAGAGGCAGUACAGAGGUUGGUGAAGGCAAGAUCAAGAGUGUUUCCCGCUGUAUGGGUUGCUAAAUCCACAUAACUCCAGUUUAAAAGUGUUUGGCUAUGUAUUAGAUAGGGCAUCCUAAAAUAGUAUAGAUUUAUAGAUAGUGACUAACAUUAAGCCCGUGGUGUAAAAUGAUCAGACUGGCUUGGCAGAAAUGACUAUUCUAAACAUAGGUGACAAUUAUUGGCUGAAAAUUGUAUCCUAGUCUGUAAUACCCCCACUACACUAAUACAUUAAUAAAAUAACCUUUGUAAUUUUGACUAAAAAGCACUGGCUCUUCUAUACCUACUAAACAUUUCAUAAUUUUAUUCCUAAUGCUUUCCACUGAAAAGAUACUCACUUUUAUUAACUGUAUUAUUAUGUGAACAUCAGCUUUUUUGAAUCGCAAACCCAUGACAAUAGCCUUGUAUAGAAUGAUUCCACAACCAAGUACUAUAAGUAGUUAAAGGUGCAGGUAAGCUAAAAUUGUAUCCCGAGUGGAAAAGAUAGUGUCACCAUUGAGAGAUAAACUAACUAAAAGCAUUUCAUUUGGAUUUGCAUCAGAUACAAACCAAAUCUGAAUUUGUAAUGUCAAUGUUUUGUUGUGUAUAAAACACGAUGCAGGUGGAAACAGGGCAUUAGUGGAAUUAAAUGCCGGGCAAGAAUAUACAAAUAGCUUUCUGAGAGGAAGCUAGCAAUGCAUAUUAUCAGAUUAUGACACCUAUUACUGUUGAGAUGCUGUAAGCCACUUUUGGUAAAUCCCCAGCAUGACAAUUUUAAGAUAUUUGAAGGGUUAUUUCAAGUAUCAUUCCCACUACAGCCCGCUGUACUGGUUACGAUUCCAGGAAUACCAUGGGCUGACUGUUCUCUGCCAAUGACUGCCAUUCUGUGACAAGAAAGUGACGCUAUGAUGAAUUCCACCUUCAAACAAGUUAAUUUCUGUACGUGUAGCGUUUUAAGUGAAAUGUUACACAUACAGGCUCUAAGCACCAUGACCACUUCAAAUCACUGAAGUGUUCAUAUACACAGAAUUGCUGAACAUUUGUCCAGAAUGCAGGGCUGCUUCAAAUUUAAAUCCAUUAAUGGUACGGUUUAUUACACACCUGACAAUCUGAAAACUCUAAUUCUCCACCUUUAUGUUAUCAGACAAGGUCAUUUAAAACAAUGGCUCCACAUACCAUCUAAAACUGUUCAAUUAAACUCACAUCCUUUGCCUUCCUAUUUCAUUCUUCACCAAGCUUCUUCUGAUCAUAACCUUAACAUGCCUUCAAAACAAACACUGACAUCCAUCAUAGUUAAUGCCUACUAUCUAGCAUUAUUGUUAUCUGAACUGAGGUUCUUUUGCUAGUGAGAGAUAUAUGAUCUGUUCCAGGCUUUUGGCCAUUAUCCAAUCCCCAGUUCUCCUUACAGCCAUAUGAAGAAGAUACUGAAGCUACAAAUACUGUUGUUUAGCAUAUCUUCAUGGCCACAAUGGUUGGAAUUUUUGCUACGCACUGUAGUAACCUACCCUUUCUCUUACAUUUUUAUACACAAUUUUCCCAUUUGUCCUUUGUCUCUUAUCACAAAGCAUUUUCAGGGUAAUGUCUUUUGCCUAUAAACUAAACUAAAAAUAGCUAUUGAGUUUCCACUCAUAAAAAGUUGAAUAAUUAGUUGUUUCACGUUUCAGACUACUCAACUUCAACAUCGUGAAGUAAAAUAUUUAAUAUGGAUUCCAGUUGGCCAAACUGGAAAAGCCUUAAGGAACACUUUAAUGUUAGGCUGUUCCCCAGGCUCCUUAGCUCCACAGCUCUCCCCUUCCCCCCAGUCAAUCUCUGUGAAACUCCAGGAAACUGCCAUUAGUAGACUUAGUACUGCAAUGUAAUGUAAUUGCAGUUAUCUAAAACGUCAAUGUUUUACAUUGCAGAACUGAGUAGCACAGGGACACUACACUCAGACCACUUCAAUGAGAUAAAGUGGUCUGGGUGCCUAUAGUGUCCCUUUAAGAAGCACCAAGUCCUCCAUCUUAAUAGGGCUGUGAGUUACCCCAAAUAGCUACAUACAGUGCCCUCCAC
RNAcentral lists this long non-coding RNA (15308 nucleotides) under Pelobates cultripes (western spadefoot toad). Lineage: Eukaryota; Metazoa; Chordata; Amphibia; Anura; Pelobatidae. The record is from RNAcentral.